Apis mellifera (honey bee) is the source of this 343-nucleotide long non-coding RNA. RefSeq lists it as uncharacterized. The record is from RefSeq and is a predicted model, not a curated record. The transcript is spliced from 2 exons. Lineage: Eukaryota; Metazoa; Arthropoda; Insecta; Hymenoptera; Apidae.
AUUCUUGUUCAUAUAUUGAUAAAUAUCAUUAAUUAAGGACAAAAAUGGUGGAUCAUAAUCAAUCUUAAAUUGUAGAAAGAUAUAUAUAAUAUAGAUCAAUAAUUAAAGAAGUUUUAAAAAUCAAGAAAUGAUGAUUCAAUGCUAACGUUCUAUAUAGCUACUUCAUGAUUUUACUACUUUAUCUAUUAAAAUAUUUAUUGGUGAUAAAAUAAUUAAAUAGUGCUCUUAUGUAAGUUAUUUUAUAAUUUUAAUUAUAAUAUUUAAACUAUUAUUAACUAUUAACUAUUUACUCAUUUUGCAUGAUUUUUCAGCUACUUAUAACAAUAUUAUAUAUGGAAAAUUU